RNAcentral lists this ribosomal RNA (2890 nucleotides) under Pseudomonas amygdali pv. tabaci. RNAcentral's name for it is "23S ribosomal RNA". It matches the Rfam family "Bacterial large subunit ribosomal RNA". Lineage: Bacteria; Pseudomonadati; Pseudomonadota; Gammaproteobacteria; Pseudomonadales; Pseudomonadaceae. The record is from RNAcentral.
UCAAGUGAAGAAGCGCAUACGGUGGAUGCCUUGGCAGUCAGAGGCGAUGAAAGACGUGGUAGCCUGCGAAAAGCUUCGGGGAGUCGGCAAACAGACUGUGAUCCGGAGAUGUCUGAAUGGGGGAACCCAGCCAUCAUAAGAUGGUUAUCUUGUACUGAAUACAUAGGUGCAAGAGGCGAACCAGGGGAACUGAAACAUCUAAGUACCCUGAGGAAAAGAAAUCAACCGAGAUUCCCUUAGUAGUGGCGAGCGAACGGGGACCAGCCCUUAAGUUGUAUUGAGAUUAGCGGAACGUUCUGGAAAGGACGGCCAUAGUGGGUGAUAGCCCUGUACGCGAAAAUCCCUUUGCAAUGAAAUCGAGUAGGACGGGGCACGAGAAACCUUGUCUGAAUAUGGGGGGACCAUCCUCCAAGGCUAAAUACUACUGACUGACCGAUAGUGAACCAGUACCGUGAGGGAAAGGCGAAAAGAACCGCGGAGAGCGGAGUGAAAUAGAUCCUGAAACCGUAUGCGUACAAGCAGUGGGAGCCCACUUUGUUGGGUGACUGCGUACCUUUUGUAUAAUGGGUCAGCGACUUAUUUUCAGUGGCGAGCUUAACCGAAUAGGGGAGGCGUAGCGAAAGCGAGUCUUAAUAGGGCGUCUAGUCGCUGGGAAUAGACCCGAAACCGGGCGAUCUAUCCAUGGGCAGGUUGAAGGUUGGGUAACACUAACUGGAGGACCGAACCGACUACCGUUGAAAAGUUAGCGGAUGACCUGUGGAUCGGAGUGAAAGGCUAAUCAAGCUCGGAGAUAGCUGGUUCUCCUCGAAAGCUAUUUAGGUAGCGCCUCAUGUAUCACUGUAGGGGGUAGAGCACUGUUUCGGCUAGGGGGUCAUCCCGACUUACCAAACCGAUGCAAACUCCGAAUACCUACAAGUGCCGAGCAUGGGAGACACACGGCGGGUGCUAACGUCCGUCGUGAAAAGGGAAACAACCCAGACCGUCAGCUAAGGUCCCAAAGUCAUGGUUAAGUGGGAAACGAUGUGGGAAGGCUUAGACAGCUAGGAGGUUGGCUUAGAAGCAGCCACCCUUUAAAGAAAGCGUAAUAGCUCACUAGUCGAGUCGGCCUGCGCGGAAGAUGUAACGGGGCUCAAACCAUGCACCGAAGCUACGGGUAUCAUCUUUUGAUGAUGCGGUAGAGGAGCGUUCUGUAAGCCUGUGAAGGUGAGUUGAGAAGCUUGCUGGAGGUAUCAGAAGUGCGAAUGCUGACAUGAGUAACGACAAUGGGUGUGAAAAACACCCACGCCGAAAGACCAAGGUUUCCUGCGCAACGUUAAUCGACGCAGGGUUAGUCGGUCCCUAAGGCGAGGCUGAAAAGCGUAGUCGAUGGAAAACAGGUUAAUAUUCCUGUACUUCUGGUUAUUGCGAUGGAGGGACGGAGAAGGCUAGGCCAGCCUGGCGUUGGUUGUCCAGGUUUAAGGUGGUAGGCUGAGAUCUUAGGUAAAUCCGGGAUCUCAAGGCCGAGAGCUGAUGACGAGUGUUCUUUAGAACACGAAGUGGUUGAUGCCAUGCUUCCAAGAAAAGCUUCUAAGCUUCAGGUAACCAGGAACCGUACCCCAAACCGACACAGGUGGUUGGGUAGAGAAUACCAAGGCGCUUGAGAGAACUCGGGUGAAGGAACUAGGCAAAAUGGCACCGUAACUUCGGGAGAAGGUGCGCCGGUGAGGGUCAAGCAUUUACUGCGUAAGCCCACGCCGGUCGAAGAUACCAGGCCGCUGCGACUGUUUAUUAAAAACACAGCACUCUGCAAACACGAAAGUGGACGUAUAGGGUGUGACGCCUGCCCGGUGCCGGAAGGUUAAUUGAUGGGGUUAGCGCAAGCGAAGCUCUUGAUCGAAGCCCCGGUAAACGGCGGCCGUAACUAUAACGGUCCUAAGGUAGCGAAAUUCCUUGUCGGGUAAGUUCCGACCUGCACGAAUGGCGUAACGAUGGCGGCGCUGUCUCCACCCGAGACUCAGUGAAAUUGAAAUCGCUGUGAAGAUGCAGUGUAUCCGCGGCUAGACGGAAAGACCCCGUGAACCUUUACUAUAGCUUUGCACUGGACUUUGAAUUUGCUUGUGUAGGAUAGGUGGGAGGCUUUGAAGCGUGGACGCCAGUCUGCGUGGAGCCAACCUUGAAAUACCACCCUGGCAACUUUGAGGUUCUAACUCAGGUCCGUUAUCCGGAUCGAGGACAGUGUAUGGUGGGUAGUUUGACUGGGGCGGUCUCCUCCUAAAGAGUAACGGAGGAGUACGAAGGUGCGCUCAGACCGGUCGGAAAUCGGUCGUAGAGUAUAAAGGCAAAAGCGCGCUUGACUGCGAGACAGACACGUCGAGCAGGUACGAAAGUAGGUCUUAGUGAUCCGGUGGUUCUGUAUGGAAGGGCCAUCGCUCAACGGAUAAAAGGUACUCCGGGGAUAACAGGCUGAUACCGCCCAAGAGUUCAUAUCGACGGCGGUGUUUGGCACCUCGAUGUCGGCUCAUCACAUCCUGGGGCUGAAGCCGGUCCCAAGGGUAUGGCUGUUCGCCAUUUAAAGUGGUACGCGAGCUGGGUUUAGAACGUCGUGAGACAGUUCGGUCCCUAUCUGCCGUGGACGUUUGAGAUUUGAGAGGGGCUGCUCCUAGUACGAGAGGACCGGAGUGGACGAACCUCUGGUGUUCCGGUUGUCACGCCAGUGGCAUUGCCGGGUAGCUAUGUUCGGAAAAGAUAACCGCUGAAAGCAUCUAAGCGGGAAACUUGCCUCAAGAUGAGAUCUCACUGGAACCUUGAGUUCCCUAAAGGGCCGUCGAAGACUACGACGUUGAUAGGUUGGGUGUGUAAGCGCUGUGAGGCGUUGAGCUAACCAAUACUAAUUGCCCGUGAGGCUUGACCA